Molecule: long non-coding RNA, 471 nt
Organism: Cyprinus carpio carpio
Lineage: Eukaryota; Metazoa; Chordata; Actinopteri; Cypriniformes; Cyprinidae
Source: Ensembl
CAGACCUCUUUUGAUGAUGGCUGGGCUGUGGUAGGCAAUUUCUACACACUGGUAUUGCAGAACCUUCCAGAAGUGGAGAUGAUUUCAAAAUGUUUCAGUGCUCGAGCAGUAAUUUGUGAAUGAUGGAGCUGCUGUUCUCUUAAACGGCUCUCCUGUGCUGUGCCUGUAGACUAAUAUGGAUCGCUCACAUUGGUGCUUCCCAUAAAUUAAGGAACAAUACCCCUGGAGCAACCUGGGCUUACGUGUGUUGCUCAAGGCCACUGUGGCGGUGUCUUGUGAAACCAUACUAACAUGUGCUCAUGCUGAAACAGAUAUCAUGAAAAUUGCUUUCGUAAUGAAUAAGCACAAAGUGAAAUGGAUAAGAGGGCUGCGCUUGAAAGAAAAUGAGGGUCGAGCUGAGAGUUGCUUUUGCCGAGAUUCUUGCGGUGUGGCGAAUGCUGUCUGCCGUUGAUGCGUGGGAAGAAAGCACUU